UUGAACGCUGGCGGCAUGCUUUACACAUGCAAGUCGAACGGCAGCACGGGUGCUUGCACCUGGUGGCGAGUGGCGAACGGGUGAGUAAUGCAUCGGAACGUGUCCUUAAGCGGGGGAUAACGCAUCGAAAGAUGUGCUAAUACCGCAUAAUCUCUGAGGAGAAAAGCAGGGGAUCGUAAGACCUUGCACUUUUGGAGCGGCCGAUGUCUGAUUAGCUAGUUGGUGGGGUAAAGGCCUACCAAAGCUUCGAUCAGUAGCUGGUCUGAGAGGACGGCCAGCCACACUGGGACUGAGACACGGCCCAGACUCCUACGGGAGGCAGCAGUGGGGAAUUUUGGACAAUGGGCGCAAGCCUGAUCCAGCCAUGCCGCGUGAGUGAAGAAGGCCUUCGGGUUGUAAAGCUCUUUCAGCCGGGAAGAAAAGGCUGCGACUAAUAAUCGCAGUUCAUGACGGUACCGGAAGAAGAAGCACCGGCUAACUACGUGC
This 486-nucleotide ribosomal RNA is filed under the name uncultured Nitrosomonadaceae bacterium. RNAcentral's name for it is "bacterial SSU rRNA". It matches the Rfam family "Bacterial small subunit ribosomal RNA", at positions 30 to 508 of the family's 1533-position model. The record is from RNAcentral. Lineage: Bacteria; Pseudomonadati; Pseudomonadota; Betaproteobacteria; Nitrosomonadales; Nitrosomonadaceae.